GAUGAACGCUGGCGACGUGCCUAAUGCAUGCAAGUCGCACGCACAGCCCUUCGGGGCUGUGAGUGGCGGACGGCUGAGGAACACGUGGGUAUCUGCCCUCCAGUGGGGGACAACAUGCCGAAAGGCGUGCUAAUCCCGCAUACGUUCCCUCUUUACCGAGGGAAGAAAGCCUUACGGCGCUGGAAGAGGAGCCUGCGGCCCAUCAGGUAGUUGGCGGGGUAAUGGCCCACCAAGCCGGUGACGGGUCCCUGGUCUGAGAGGACGACCAGGCAGACUGGGACUGAGAACGGCCCAGACUCCUACGGGA
This 307-nucleotide ribosomal RNA is filed under the name uncultured bacterium. RNAcentral describes it as "bacterial SSU rRNA". It matches the Rfam family "Bacterial small subunit ribosomal RNA", at positions 28 to 346 of the family's 1533-position model. The record is from RNAcentral.